UGGGUAACCUGCCUCAAAGAGGGGGAUAGCCUCCCGAAAGGGAGAUUAAUACCGCAUAAUAUGUUUUAAUCGCAUGAUUUUAACAUCAAAGGAUUUUCUUAGGAAAUUCCACUUUGAGAUGGACCCGCGGCGCAUUAGCUAGUUGGUGAGGUAACAGCUCACCAAGGCAACGAUGCGUAGCCGACCUGAGAGGGUGAUCGGCCACAUUGGAACUGAGACACGGUCCAGACCUCUACGGGAGG
RNAcentral lists this ribosomal RNA (242 nucleotides) under uncultured bacterium. Its description in RNAcentral is "partial 16S ribosomal RNA". It matches the Rfam family "Bacterial small subunit ribosomal RNA", at positions 118 to 347 of the family's 1533-position model. The record is from RNAcentral.